Long non-coding RNA from Oenanthe melanoleuca, 1831 nucleotides. RefSeq lists it as uncharacterized. The transcript is spliced from 3 exons. The record is from RefSeq and is a predicted model, not a curated record. NCBI's taxonomy places the organism in Eukaryota, Metazoa, Chordata, Aves, Passeriformes, Muscicapidae.
UUGUACUCACUGCAUUUGUUCUGAUUUUAUUGUUGAAUAGAUUUAUUUAUUGUUCAAGUCAAUAUUGCUAAAUGCCACUUGAUUUGCAGGGGAGGGAUAGGCAUACUUGAGUUUAGUUUUAUUUUUGUUUGGUACUUACCAAAAUGUCAAAAUCUGAGAUCAAGCCAUAUCUCCUUCAGUAAGCAACAUGUGUCUAGCACCUGGGACAAACAUCAAGUGAUCAACCUCAGACAAUAGAACAGUUCUCCUGAAAUUAGUAUUUGGUUCUCAGACCCAUAGCCAUGAAUAACACCCACUUCUUAUGCUCAGAAUGUAAAACAUGAGCUCCAGGACAAAUGAUAAUAAAUGAGCCCAAAUGAAUUCCCCCCUCCAGGAAAUGAUUUAAUAAGUAAGGCUGCCCCAUCAGAUACUUCUCCAGGGAAUGUGAUGUAAGUGUAAGGUGAAGUACUAUCACAAAAACCUUGUGUGUAUAUUCUACCAGAUCUAUUAGCCAGGGAAAUACAAGCCAGGGUCAAGAUGACUAUACCCUUAAGCUGACAUUACAUAUCGUUUUGGCAGGAAGAGCUGUUUUGAGUUUCUUGAUCUCUCUGUAGAUGCUAAAACAAUCCUGCUGACCGCUGAGGACCUGUCCUGUUACCUCCACUCGCUUGUCACUGCCUCUGCUGCUUGCUGCAAAAGGAUGAUACAAAGAUCCAGUCAGUGACAGGAAAACAGAAAAAGAAAGCUGAAGAUCUUUGGGAAACUCCUGAGUGACAGAGGGAAAGAAGCACCUGAAAUACCUCAGGAUGUUUAGGAUCAGCUCGCCUGGCUGCUUCUGUCAACAGUUCACUCCAUUGUGGCCUUUUUUCUGUAUCUGCUAGAAGGCCGGACCAACAUGUUGAUUUUUCUUGCGCUGUCCUCCAUGCUCUGCGCUGAGGGACUAUAUUUGAAAUCAGUGAGUGAGCUGUGUGUUAAGAAAUAGCUCUGGCACUAAAACACUUAAAAUUACUCUUUGUUUCUCUGACUUCUCUCCUAAUUUGGAUUACCCCGCCGGACUUGCCCACGAGAUGGAAUACUAAGAAAAUAUUGUUUUGUUUAAUUUGUUUUUUGAUGUCCACAUUUCUCACAUUUCCUGUUCCAAUUUCAAAGUGAGUCUGAGCUCCUCCACUAACAUUGCUCCGGCUGUUAUUUUGGGGAUCUGAGAGAGGGGAUUAAAAAUAAACGAAGUCUGGGUAAUGCGUUUUCUUGCCACAGGUUCUCUUAGGCGAGCCAGUAAAAAGUUAUUGACAUUUGUCUCCUUUCAGGUUAAACAGAGGGAUUAGAUGAAGGGUAUUACUAACACAGGUCAAGGUAUUAAAAUAUGGAUGCCUAAAUUUAGGCUCCUAAUUUUGUAUUUUGAGCCCCUAAAUAAGGCUUGAUCUUAUGCCCUUUGAAGUCAAUGCCAAAGCAUUGACUGAGUUCAAUCUGAAGAUAAAGUCCUAAAUUAUUCUUAAAAGUUCUCAGCAUCUCACAUCUCCAAAUAAGUCAUCACCCUGCCUCUUUGCAAAUCACGCAUCUUUCCUUAAGUUCCUAAACAUGAGGCUCGUGCUUUUAGGUAUUCCAUAUUUAAAAUCCUGCCUGUUGAUGCUGUCUUUCUGUCUCAAGAGCCAUGGACAUGGGAGCCUAACAAGGCUAAUAAAGAAGUGUAGCUGGGACACAGACAGAUUUGCUUUUUUGGUGAGCAGUGCUUAGCACGAACACUGCAGAUUCUCUAGUAAUGUCAGUAUUUAUUACGGUGUAAAGUUAACAUGGAAGGCACAUGAAUGUCCUUGCUGGUGCCAGAAUUCAGCAAGUACAUGACCAUUUGCACAAA